GACGAACCGUCCGAACGUUAUUCGGAAUUAUUGGGCUUAAAGGGUGCGUAGGCGGCGCUGUAAGUCAGGUGUGAAAUCCCACGGCUCAACCGUGGAAUGGCGCCCGAUACUGCAGUGCUCGAGGGAGACAGAGGUAAGCGGAACUGAUGGUGGAGCGGUGAAAUGCGUUGAUAUCAUCAGGAACACCAGUGGCGAAAGCGGCUUACUGGGUCUCUUCUGACGCUGAGGCAAGAAAGCUAGGGUAGCGAACGGG
Molecule: ribosomal RNA, 253 nt
Filed under: uncultured bacterium
Lineage: Bacteria
Description: partial 16S ribosomal RNA
Rfam family: Bacterial small subunit ribosomal RNA
Source: RNAcentral